CAGACCUUAGGUUUUGAACUGAGUUACAUCAUCAGCUUUCCUGGUUUUAAGGCUUUCAAACAUGGAUUGGCUUCUCUGAUUCUCCAGUUUGCCGACAACCUAUCCUGGGACUUUCCUGCCAUCAUAAGACCUGUGAAGAAUUCUACCUUCAGACAACUGCUCAACUGGAUUGAAUCUGGGAGAAGAAGAUGGGGGCAUUAUUUCUUGACAGCCACCUAGAUUCCAACAGCAUCAUGCAACAAAUGGUACUGAGACCUUCAGAAUCCUUGAAAAGCUAAUCAGCACUUAUGCAUGAAGGCAAUGUUCUAAACCUUAGUGGUCAGGAAAUGUUUGAGAUUUGAAACAGUUGUUUGAGGUUGAGGCAGAAAGUAAUAAAGAAUACUAAAAUUAUCAAAGAAACACCAAACACAAAUCAAUAGCAUCCAAACGAGCUUUACCUUUAUAGCUGGUACUCUUUCUGUCCUCUUUUCUGCUUCCUAAUAGAUGUUUUUUGGUGAUUUGGUCCUCCUAAGUGCAUGGACAUCGGACAGGAUAGUAUGAGUAUGAUUAGAGGUGUAAGUAUGACUAGAA
RNAcentral lists this long non-coding RNA (570 nucleotides) under Pan troglodytes (chimpanzee). RNAcentral describes it as "long non-coding RNA NONPTRT012414". The record is from RNAcentral. Lineage: Eukaryota; Metazoa; Chordata; Mammalia; Primates; Hominidae.